RNAcentral lists this ribosomal RNA (322 nucleotides) under uncultured Bacillota bacterium. RNAcentral's name for it is "bacterial SSU rRNA". It matches the Rfam family "Bacterial small subunit ribosomal RNA", at positions 28 to 351 of the family's 1533-position model. The record is from RNAcentral. Lineage: Bacteria; Bacillati; Bacillota.
GACGAACGCUGGCGGCGUGCCUAACACAUGCAAGUCGAACGGUUCAAGCAGUAAUGUUUGGAUAGUGGCGGACGGGUGAGUAACGCGUGGGCAACCUACCUUUCACAGGGGGAUAACACAGGGAAACUUGUGCUAAUACCGCAUAACGUAAUGAUAUGGCAUCAUAUUAUUACCAAAGGAGAAAUCCAGUGAAAGAUGGGCCCGCGUCCGAUUAGCUAGUUGGUGAGGUAGAGGCUCACCAAGGCGACGAUCGGUAGCCGAACUGAGAGGUUGAUCGGCCACAUUGGGACUGAGACACGGCCCAGACUCCUACGGGAGGCAG